This 240-nucleotide long non-coding RNA is filed under the name Dromaius novaehollandiae (emu). Its description in RNAcentral is "lncRNA (ENSDNVG00000001942.1)". Lineage: Eukaryota; Metazoa; Chordata; Aves; Casuariiformes; Dromaiidae. The record is from RNAcentral.
CGAAAAUAGAGAAGAGCCAGUGGAAAUUGGUGAAGAUAGAGGCAAAAAUUCGGAAAGAGCCAGUGGAAAUUGGUGAAGAUAGAGGUGAAAAUUUAAAACCCAGUGGAAAUUGGUGAAGAUAGAGGCGAAAAUGUAAAACCCCGUGGGAAUUGGUGAAGCUAGAGGCGGCAAUUCAGACGAGCCGGUGGCAGGGGCGAAGCUGGAGGCCGGCGAGGCGGGAGCCCCGGGCGCGGAGCACGG